GUUAGGAAUAUUGGACAAUGGGCGCAAGCCUGAUCCAGCCAUGCCGCGUGAGUGAUGAAGGCCUUCGGGUUGUAAAGCUCUUUAGUCCACGAAUAUAAUGACUGUAGUGGAAGAAUAAGCCCCGGCUAACUUCGUGCCAGCAGCCGCGGUAAUACGAAGGGGGCGAGCGUUAUUCGGAAUCACUGGGCGUAAAGCGUGCGUAGGCUGUUUUGUAAGUCAGAAGUGAAAGCCCAGGGCUUAACCCUGGAAUUGCUUUUGAAACUACAAGACUCGAAUUCGGGAGAGGAUAGCGGAAUUGUCAGUGUAGCAGUGAAAUGCGUAGAUAUUGACAGGAACACCAGUGGCGCAAGCGGCUAUCUGGACGAGUAUUGACGCUGAGGCACGAAAGCGUGGGGAUCAAACAGGAUUAGAUACCCGAGUAGUCC
This 425-nucleotide ribosomal RNA is filed under the name uncultured bacterium. RNAcentral's name for it is "partial 16S ribosomal RNA". It matches the Rfam family "Bacterial small subunit ribosomal RNA", at positions 354 to 796 of the family's 1533-position model. The record is from RNAcentral.